UGAAUACGAGAUGCUACGGCGUCGAAGCAGUCUAUGUCAUACUUCCAAGAAAAGCUCGCACUGUCAUAAACAAAUAAUGCCUGUACCAUAACCGACACAGGUGGGUAGGUAGAGUAUACUAAGGGGCGCGAGAUAACUCUCUCUAAGGAACUCGGCAAAAUGACUCCGUAACUUCGGGAGAAGGAGUGCCUUAUUUAUAAGGUUGCAAUAACAAGAUCCAAGCAACUGUUUAUCAAAAACACAGGUCUCCGCUAAGUCGUAAGACGAUGUAUGGGGGCUGACGCCUGCCCAGUGCCAGAAGGUUAAAGAAGUUGGUUAGCAUUCGCGAAGCUGAUAACUGAAGCCCUGGUGAACGGCGGCCGUAACUAUAACGGUCCUAAGGUAGCGAAAUUCCUUGUCGGGUAAGUUCCGACCCGCACGAAAGGCGUAAUGAUUUGGAUACUGUCUCGGAGAGGGGCUCGGUGAAAUAGACUUGUCUGUGAAGAUGCGGGCUACCUGCACCAGGACAGAAAGACCCUAUGAAGCUUUACUGUAACUUGAGAUUGAAAUUGGACUUUACUUGCGCAGUAUAGGUGGGAGGCGUUGAUAAUAUUCUUGCGGGAUUAUUUGAGCCAUCAGUGAGAUACCACUCUUGUAAUGUUAGAUUUCUAACUUUGUAUCAUUAUCUGGUCAAAGGACAGUUUCAGGCGGGCAGUUUGACUGGGGCGGUCGCCUCCUAAACGGUAACGGAGGCGCACAAAGGUUUCCUCUGAACGGGUAGAAAUCGUAUCUAGAGUGUAAAGGCAUAAGGAAGCUUGACUGUGAGACCUACAAGUCGAGCAGGGGCGAAAGUCGGUCUUAGUGAUCUGACGGUGCUGAGUGGAAAGGCCGUCACUCAACGGAUAAAAGUUACUCUAAGGAUAACAGGCUGAUCUCCCCCAAGAGUUCACAUCGACGGGGAGGUUUGGCACCUCGAUGUCGGCUCAUCGCAUCCUGGGGCGGUAGUACGUCCCAAGGGUUGGGCUGUUCGCCCAUGAAAGCGGUACGCGAGCUGGGUUCAGAACGUCGUGAGACAGUUCGGUCCAUAUCCGGUGUAGGCGUUAGAAUAUUGAGAGGAGCUUUCUUUAGUACGAGAGGACCGAGAAGGACAUACCUCUGGUGUACCAGUUAUCGUGCCAACGGUAAACGCUGGGUAGCUAUGUAUGGAGUGGAUAACCGCUGAAAGCAUCUAAGUGGGAAGCCCACCUCAAGAUAAGUAUUCA
RNAcentral lists this ribosomal RNA (1241 nucleotides) under metagenome. RNAcentral's name for it is "bacterial LSU rRNA". It matches the Rfam family "Bacterial large subunit ribosomal RNA", at positions 1564 to 2814 of the family's 2925-position model. The record is from RNAcentral.